CUGCUGCCUUCCGUAGGAGUCUGGGCCGUGUCUCAGUCCCAGUGUGGCCGUCCACCCUCUCAGGCCGGCUGCUGAUCGUCGCUUUGGUGGGCCGUUACCCCGCCAACUGGCUAAUCAGACGCGGGCCCAUCCUGUACCACCGGAGUUUUCAAAGGAUUACCAUGCGGUAUUCCCUAUUAUGCGGUAUUAGCACCUAUUUCUAAGUGUUAUCCCCCGGUACAGGGCAGGUUGCCCACGCGUUACUCACCCGUCCGCCACUAAGACAG
Molecule: ribosomal RNA, 266 nt
Filed under: uncultured bacterium
Lineage: Bacteria
Description: partial 16S ribosomal RNA
Source: RNAcentral